UGGCCCUACGGGACGCAGCAGUGGGGAAUAUUGGGCAAUGGGCGCAAGCCUGACCCAGCAACGCCGCGUGAAGGAAGAAGGCUUUCGGGUUGUAAACUUCUUUUCUCAGAGACGAAGCAAGUGACGGUACCUGAGGAAUAAGCCACGGCUAACAACGUGCCAGCAGCCGCGGUAAUACGUAGGUGGCAAGCGUUAUCCGGAUUUACUGGGUGUAAAGGGCGUGGAGGCGGGAAAGCAAGUCAGAUGUGAAAACCACGGGGUCAACCUGUGGCCUGCAUUUGAAACUGUUUUUCUUGAGUACUGGG
This 305-nucleotide ribosomal RNA is filed under the name uncultured bacterium. Its description in RNAcentral is "bacterial SSU rRNA". It matches the Rfam family "Bacterial small subunit ribosomal RNA", at positions 334 to 653 of the family's 1533-position model. The record is from RNAcentral.